CAGAGCCAGACAAGCUGUUUUCUCUUUGUCUUUGUAAUAAGAAAAGGUAACCCGCUGCCCACAGCAGGUGUAUAUUUAGCAUGCAGACAUGAAGCUGAAUCACGUAACUCUCACAGAGAAGUAAAAGUAGUAAGAAUAACUCUGAAAAUGUCAAACUAUUCCUUUAAUUUUUUCAGUCUUUCACAUCAUUAUACAUUUUUAUUUAUGUUGUAAAAAGCCUGCCACAGUCAGCAUUUAAUAACCAGUAAAACCUGUCAAUUUUACUUUGACAAACGCAAACCACAAUGACGUGCUCAGCAAAAAAACCCCGAACAUGGCAGUGUGUUUUCUUGUUAAAUGUCUCACUCUUGCAAUUAUUAGUCAUCAUACGUUGCCUGUGUUUUGCAAGGCAAGCUUUCAAAUUAAGCUCAACAUGUACAGUUUCUCUCUGCGAACAUAAAGCAGAAGAGACAAACCCAAAUUUCCACAUGGGGAUGUAUCUGUCUGAGCAGUAAUGAAAUGAGUGGGGCCGGUUUUCCCAGCAGCACUUGAGCAAGAAGAUCAACUUAGUACCAAAAUAAGCUAAUGCAUAAAGAUGAUGAUACUGCUGAGACGACUCUGCUUAAUUGGGCCUUGAGAUGUCGUACACUUUCAAAACAAGGAGCCUUCAGGCACAAUCCACUCGAAGCCCAAAUCGUUUGAUUAUUUCAGUUUCUUUUUACUGGAAUUUUUGAAAAGUAUGUGAAUUUAAUUAAGCUAAAACAAAAAAAUACUUUGAAUACUGUUCAAACCCGUUUCUAAAAACGUUGUAUACAUGUGAAUAGUGAGGACUUGAUCAAAUUAAUCAGCAUUAUGUUUGUAUCUCAACAGAAUGGCAAUAAAAUACUGCUGGCAAAUAAUGUUUACCAGCAGUAUCCAUGUAAGCACUCAUCAAACUUUUUAAAGAAAUGCACGUAAAAUGGAUUUUGCAGUUAUAAGGCACAAUCACAAGUGUAGGGGAAGCUCUCAGCAUGAUGAAGUAUACAAAGAUGUAUGCUUAGACAGUGAUUUGUUUUAAUUAAACACACUUUUGACAAUCUAAAAUUGUCCACAUCUGUGCUAGGAAGUUAGCCAAAAGUGAUUACAAACAAACUUAAUGCCAGUAUAACCUCUUAAGCCCCAACGCCCCCAGAUAUAGGGGCAAAAGGCAGGAGAUCGCAUUUGGGGUUAGGCAUUGGGGCUUAAGUGUGUUGUUGGUCCUCCUUCCAAAUUUUCUGUGUGAUGACUUCAAAACAGAAUAAAAGUGCAUAUGGAUCUGCUCUAAACCAACUUACGCCACCUCUUUCAGUCGUAUUCAUACGUUUUAGAGGAAUAGAUGUUCAAAAUUUCCAUAAAUACAUGGCUAUUCAUUAUUGCUAACACCUCCAUUGGUAUGAGUAUCUAGUUUCUAGUUUCCAGUGUUGUUUGUUUGUCCUUUGGGGGGGUUCUCACUUUAUCUUUUACAAAUGGUCUUUUUUAAUGCUUGCUUGGCCCUGAAUAGUGUAAUAGUGUAAAGAGAAACACAAAAAAACCCGAUGAAAGUGAAGUUCCACUCCUGUGACAAUGCUGUAACAUCUUCAAGAAAUGGGGGAAAAAAUGUUGGAAUGAAGAAAGUUCUGUAGGCAGUGAGUUCAGCUUUUUAGAUGACAGUGCCUUUUGAUUUAGAAAUUGAGAGUCAAUCACAGUCUGCAUUGCAGCCUGAAUGUGAGUAAUACAGCUUUCUGAGCACUGGGCAGACCCUAAAUUGGCUCUCUCUCCCAAAUACACACGCACUGAAUUUCACAUGGGAGCUCUAAGAACAAAGUGCUCUCAAUAACACUGUGCUUCUCUUACACACACACACACACACACACACACACACACACACACACACUUGCAGUUAUAUAUGUGCUUCUGUCUUCAUAUUUCUUCCUUUAUGUACCAAACACUAAAAAAAAUGCUCAUAAAAAUGCUGUAAACAUUGUCAUAAAACCACCGCACGACAUCUUAUGAAUGCAAAGUGACAACAAUAUAUACACUGUUUACAUAUUUCAAACACAUCUGUGCCCACUACUAGGUGAAGUUCAUCCUUUUUGUUUGAAUAUCCACGGAGUCCAAGAGCAUCCACGGUUUAUGCUUUUCGGGAUGCUCCAUCAGCUCCUUUCCAUAAACUCGUCAGCAAUCUCAGGUCAAAAAAGGGAUAUUUACUCCAUGGCCAGAGCGACCCGGUCGGGCGUCAUCGGCCCGGGCUUGACCGAGAUCCACAAGUCUUCGGUAUUGGCAGAAUUAUAUUUCUUCUUUGUUUCUGACCUUGAAGACGACACGGCGUCGCCGCAGCAGCAACAACAGCAGCUGUUGGCAUGACGACAGCAACAGCAGUGGCAGCACACCACCACUGUUGUGAGGAGGACGAGCAGGGGAAGCGUCAGGAGGACCACCAGGCAGACUGUGUUAUAGGCCCCCUGGUUGUGUUUUUCUGAAGCAAAGUGCCACAGUUGGUUGAAAAAAUCCUGAAUGCUGUCAGUUUUCCCAUCCAUGGCUUAGGAUACCGGCGUGUAAGCCCUUUAAAUGAGACUAUCUCACUGUUGGAAAAGUUUUGCUAAAUCCUUUAGAGAGUUGAAAUAGUUGUGAGACAGCAAAUGUGCAUGUUAGGAUGCUGGGGUACUAAAAUGAUAAAAAUACAAUGUCCCUCUGAGCCCUUUGGGUGGUUGGAUUAAGGUUAAAAAACUGCCCAAAAUGAAAUAGUUUCCCUGAGACUCUCGUCUAUCCAACGAAGGCUGUACUCUCUGUGUUAAAUGGAAACACCAGAAGCAAACGUCACAGAUGCUUUCUGCUUUAAAGUGUUCCUUUGGAGAAGGCCAAGGCCCAUUUAAACAAAUCCACACAACCAAGAGGUCACUUGGUUAGAGGAGGCUUUCAAUAUGAGGAUUCUGAUCUCGAGGAAAGCGGAAGUUUCUUUAUCCAGGUCGACAUUCCAGUAAUUGUUUUCUCGAGUUUCCUCUUGUCCUCCUCCCCUUUAACUUUCAGUCUGACAAGCUGUAGAGAAGUUGCUUAAUGUGGAUGUAGCUGCAAAAAAAAAAAAAGAAGGUUAACAUGAACAGAAAAUUUGGGUCCAGGCAGACAACUGGUCUCCCUCACUCUUUC
Long non-coding RNA from Oreochromis aureus, 3120 nucleotides. NCBI's taxonomy places the organism in Eukaryota, Metazoa, Chordata, Actinopteri, Cichliformes, Cichlidae. The record is from Ensembl.